GCGGAUGUAGUUUAAUGGUAAAACCCCUGCCUUCCAAGCAGACGACGGGAGUUCGAUUCUCCUCAUCCGCUCCA
Molecule: transfer RNA, 74 nt
Filed under: Streptomyces sp. JV178
Lineage: Bacteria; Bacillati; Actinomycetota; Actinomycetes; Kitasatosporales; Streptomycetaceae
Also listed under: 25 other names
Description: tRNA-Gly
Rfam family: tRNA
About the family: Transfer RNA (tRNA) molecules are approximately 80 nucleotides in length. Their secondary structure includes four short double-helical elements and three loops (D, anti-codon, and T loops). Further hydrogen bonds mediate the characteristic L-shaped molecular structure. tRNAs have two regions of fundamental functional importance: the anti-codon, which is responsible for specific mRNA codon recognition, and the 3' end, to which the tRNAs corresponding amino acid is attached (by aminoacyl-tRNA synthetases). tRNAs cope with the degeneracy of the genetic code in two manners: having more than one tRNA (with a specific anti-codon) for a particular amino acid; and 'wobble' base-pairing, i.e. permitting non-standard base-pairing at the 3rd anti-codon position.
Source: RNAcentral